GUGACCUGCGGAGGAUCAUUAACGAAAUGGCCUGACAUUACAUACACCUGUGCACCCGGCGGACGUCCCACAAAGACGUUCACUACACUUUACAAUGAUGCCUGUAACGAAGCCUGUCUUGUCGAGCUCUACGGAGCGUUAAACGAAUACAACUUUCAACAACGGAUCUCUUGGCUUUCGCAUCGAUGAAGAACGCCGCGAAAGUGCGAAACGUAAUGUGAAUUGCAGAAUUCAGUGAAUCAUCGAAUCUUUGAACGCAUCUUGCGCUCCUUGGUAUUCCGAGGAGCAUGCCUGUUUGAGUGUCGUGAAGCCUCUCGAAACCCAAGUCUUGUUUUUGACUUGUGGGGUCGGAUUUGGACGUUGCCGUGAAUGAAACGGCUCGUCUCGAAACGCAUUAGCUGUUCCCACUACAAGACAACGGUGUGAUAAGAAAAAUUCGCUCGCGUCUGAAGGGGGGACGGCUCACAAAGUCACCUUUUAACUCUGACCUCAAAUCAGGUAGGACUACCCGCUGAACUUAA
This 521-nucleotide ribosomal RNA is filed under the name uncultured fungus. RNAcentral describes it as "eukaryotic LSU rRNA". The stretch from base 151 to 305 matches the Rfam family "5.8S ribosomal RNA". The record is from RNAcentral. Lineage: Eukaryota; Fungi.